This 690-nucleotide long non-coding RNA is filed under the name Medicago truncatula (barrel medic). Its description in RNAcentral is "long non-coding RNA (MTRU_LNC006450)". The record is from RNAcentral. Lineage: Eukaryota; Viridiplantae; Streptophyta; Magnoliopsida; Fabales; Fabaceae.
AUAAAAAUGCAUCCAAUGAUAAAUAUUCACACACAAGUACAUAUAAACACAUAUUAAAACAAUUAAAAAUAAUUCUAGCGAAAAUCAGGCUGUUACAAUCUCAGCCACACAUUACAAUCGGAUGAUCCUGAUUCGUUACAGUGUCAAACAACGUGCUUUUUUUACAGCACCAAAUCCAAAUUCCGUUGGCCUCCUCAAAUGUACAAAAUGGUCAAAAAUAUCAAAAACAUUUUACUUUCAACAUUAAUAUGAUACAAUAGGCAAAUAAGAAAACUCCUAAAAGAAUAUUUACACCAAAGCAAAUCUAUAUUGAAUGUUCAUCUUCUUUCCUAAACUUUCUUUCUUAAAGCAUUAAUCGAUCACAUGCCUAUGCAGGAAAAAUAAAGUUAAAAUAACAUAUCGAGCCUUGAGUGUCUGCGACAGUUCCUGGUCGCGAUUGUCAAAGAGUAACCGAGAGUUUGCAACAGUUUUCGGUGGCAAUGAAUCACCGCCGACGCUGACUAAGUUUGAAGAAGUUAUUAAGGUUUUAGUGUUUGAACGAUUCUCGACUGCGAUGAAUCACCACCAAGUGAAUUGCGACAGUAAAACUUCAAAAUUUCAAAUAGGAUGAAAUCAACAUGUAUUUAAUCGUACAAAACGAUACAAAUAAAAAGAAUAAUAUCAUGUAACAGAAAGCCAGACAUAAAAAAA